Molecule: ribosomal RNA, 445 nt
Filed under: uncultured bacterium
Lineage: Bacteria
Description: SSU rRNA
Rfam family: Bacterial small subunit ribosomal RNA
Source: RNAcentral
AGAGCGAACGCUGGCGGCAGGCUUAACACAUGCAAGUCGAGCGGGCGUAGCAAUACGUCAGCGGCAGACGGGUGAGUAACGCGUGGGAACAUACCUUUUGGUUCGGAACAACACAGGGAAACUUGUGCUAAUACCGGAUAAGCCCUUACGGGGAAAGAUUUAUCGCCGAAAGAUUGGCCCGCGUCUGAUUAGCUAGUUGGUGAGGUAACGGCUCACCAAGGCGACGAUCAGUAGCUGGUCUGAGAGGAUGAUCAGCCACAUUGGGACUGAGACACGGCCCAAACUCCUACGGGAGGCAGCAGUGGGAAUAUUGGACAAUGGGCGCAAGCCUGAUCCAGCCGUGCCGCGUGAGUGAUGAAGGCCCUAGGGUUGUAAAGCUCUUUGUGCGGGAAGAUAAUGACGGUACCGCAAGAAUAAGCCCGGCUAACUUCGCGCCAGCAGCCGC